Aquila chrysaetos chrysaetos is the source of this 410-nucleotide long non-coding RNA. RefSeq lists it as uncharacterized. The transcript is spliced from 4 exons. NCBI's taxonomy places the organism in Eukaryota, Metazoa, Chordata, Aves, Accipitriformes, Accipitridae. The record is from RefSeq and is a predicted model, not a curated record.
CCCAGCUAAAGGACAUCCUCUCUGAAAGUCGACUCAACAAAGAGAGGAAGAAAAGCCAAAUCUUACCUGGCAGCAGAAAUCCCCAGAGAUGGUGCCUACCGGUUUUCACAGAUGCUCAGACUAAAUGAAUACAAGAUCCUCACUAAAACUCAGUGAGUUCAUCUGGCAGAGAAGAAAGUCUCAUCCAGCACAUAAAUAUUCCAACCCUGAGCCGCUCUGCUGUGUCUGGAAUGACUCACAGCGAAGGAGAGCCAGUCAUGGCAGCAACUGCUUGUGGCCCAGAGUUCUCGCACUGCAAUGAUCUCCUAAAUGCUCGGAGAGUUCAGCGCAGGAGCUAAGAUGCAGCAGACACGACCGAGAGAGCUGGCUAAAUAAUCCCUUUCGCCAGCAGUCCGGGAAGUGCCGCAGAG